CUCAGACUAUAGUCAUAAAGUAGGACAAUAAAAGAACAAAAGACAAACCGAGACACAGAAGUACAAACAAUAGACCAUCAACUCCGAAAACCAAAAGUAAAAUAGAAACAUAGAUCACGAAAAAAAUGCAUGGGCGACAUCAGUCCAGUGAAGAGAACAUGCUUCUUGCAAGACACUUUCCGUGAAAACAAAUUUGAUUAAAGAC
RNAcentral lists this long non-coding RNA (205 nucleotides) under Mytilus galloprovincialis (Mediterranean mussel). The record is from RNAcentral. Lineage: Eukaryota; Metazoa; Mollusca; Bivalvia; Mytilida; Mytilidae.